UGGGGAAUUUUGGACAAUGGGGGAAACCCUGAUCCAGCCAUCCCGCGUGUGCGAUGAAGGCCUUCGGGUUGUAAAGCACUUUUGGCAGGAAAGAAACGUCAUGGGUUAAUACCCCGUGAAACUGACGGUACCUGCAGAAUAAGCACCGGCUAACUACGUGCCAGCAGCCGCGGUAAUACGUAGGGUGCAAGCGUUAAUCGGAAUUACUGGGCGUAAAGCGUGCGCAGGCGGUUCGGAAAGAAAGAUGAGAAAUCCCAGAGCUCAACUUUGGAACUGCAUUUUUAACUACCGGGCUAGAGUGUGUCAGAGGGAGGUGGAAUUCCGCGUGUAGCAGUGAAAUGCGUAGAUAUGCGGAGGAACACCGGUGGCGAAGGCAGCCUCCUGGGAUAACACUGACGCUCAUGCACGAAAGCGUGGGGAGCAAACAGG
RNAcentral lists this ribosomal RNA (429 nucleotides) under Acidobacteriota bacterium. RNAcentral's name for it is "Acidobacteria bacterium partial 16S ribosomal RNA". It matches the Rfam family "Bacterial small subunit ribosomal RNA", at positions 355 to 776 of the family's 1533-position model. The record is from RNAcentral. Lineage: Bacteria; Pseudomonadati; Acidobacteriota.